CCUACGGGCGGCAGCAGUGGGGAAUAUUGGACAAUGGGGGGAACCCUGAUCCAGCCAUGCCGCGUGUGUGAAGAAGGCCCUCGGGUUGUAAAGCACUUUCAGUGAGGAAGAACGCCUGGUGGUUAAUACCCAUCAGGAAAGACAUCACUCACAGAAGAAGCACCGGCUAACUCCGUGCCAGCAGCCGCGGUAAUACGGAGGGUGCGAGCGUUAAUCGGAAUUACUGGGCGUAAAGCGCGCGUAGGUGGCUUGAUAAGCCGGUUGUGAAAGCCCCGGGCUCAACCUGGGAACGGCAUCCGGAACUGUCAAGCUAGAGUCCAGGAGAGGAAGGUAGAAUUCCCGGUGUAGCGGUGAAAUGCGUAGAGAUCGGGAGGAAUACCAGUGGCGAAGGCGGCCUUCUGGACUGACACUGACACUGAGGUGCGAAAGCGUGGGUAGCAAACAGGAUUAGAUACCCGGGUAGUC
Molecule: ribosomal RNA, 465 nt
Filed under: Vreelandella stevensii
Lineage: Bacteria; Pseudomonadati; Pseudomonadota; Gammaproteobacteria; Oceanospirillales; Halomonadaceae
Description: partial 16S ribosomal RNA
Rfam family: Bacterial small subunit ribosomal RNA
Source: RNAcentral